AAGGCACUAGUAAAAAAAUUACACUGCUUUGUCAAGGCAGAAUUGCAGGUUAAACCCCUACGUACCUUA
RNAcentral lists this transfer RNA (69 nucleotides) under Eigenmannia sp. CBM-ZF-10620. RNAcentral describes it as "tRNA-Asp". It matches the Rfam family "tRNA". Rfam says of the family: Transfer RNA (tRNA) molecules are approximately 80 nucleotides in length. Their secondary structure includes four short double-helical elements and three loops (D, anti-codon, and T loops). The record is from RNAcentral. Lineage: Eukaryota; Metazoa; Chordata; Actinopteri; Gymnotiformes; Sternopygidae.